Regulatory RNA element from Lactococcus lactis subsp. lactis Il1403, 97 nucleotides. It matches the Rfam family "23S methyl RNA motif". The record is from Rfam. Lineage: Bacteria; Bacillati; Bacillota; Bacilli; Lactobacillales; Streptococcaceae.
UAUUAAUUUGUUUCAAUCUUUCCUGUUAUGAUUAAAGCAAAUUAGUCCCCCAACUAGACUUCUUGCUGAGAUUGACUCCGAGGGGUCUAGUUUUUUU